AAGUUGCGUUUUACGGAAUAAAACCACGGAAGUAUUUGGAAUUGGACAAAUUAUUCAUCUGCAAUUUCCCAGAGAUCAAAUCCCCCAGAAAUCCAAAAAUGAAUGGCGAACUUCUGCGGCGAGGAAACGUUUUUUACAACAAGAAGUCUAAAUUUUUAGAAGCGACUGAAUAUUGCGCAGAUAGAAAUGCAGUUUGACAAAUUGAACAGUCAGCUUGUUUUUCGCCCUGCGUUUGGGUCAACACGCAAUGCUACCUCCCGUCACUGCAAGAAUUUAUAUGAUCUUAACGUGGCGCGUUAUGAAGUGCCGAUUACGCUGAACUUGAUUCCGAAGCCACUGGCCAAUCUCAGUACAAAGUGACGGUGCCCUCGCAGAACGGCGACUCUUUUUAUGUGCAGGUCUCCCGUCGAUCCACUGCGGAAGCGUUUUGUUCGACACCUCCCUCGCGGGCAUCACUUUUGAGGACGAACCGUCGCCGUUCAAGUGCCAAGCAGAAAUCUAUAUAAGGACUUGGCGAAAAUCAGCACACCUCCUUCAGGCGUCUUUGAUGACACUUAGCCUGUUUUCUCGCGGGACGAGUUUCCAAAUUCCGACGUGAGCCAAUUGAUUUAACAAAAAGUGUACAAUUUUUUUUCUAGAUUUUACUUAAAACAUUAAAAAAAUUUUUCAAGCCGGAUAAUAAUUUAAGGACUUCUUAUUGAUAUAGUCAAAUCAAGUCCUUACAACAAAAUAAUAAGAUUUUUGCGAU
Neocloeon triangulifer is the source of this 748-nucleotide long non-coding RNA. RefSeq lists it as uncharacterized. NCBI's taxonomy places the organism in Eukaryota, Metazoa, Arthropoda, Insecta, Ephemeroptera, Baetidae. The transcript is spliced from 4 exons. The record is from RefSeq and is a predicted model, not a curated record.